GCCUUGCAUAACUUCCAUCUGUAUUGAGACAGGAUACACUUUUGCCUGGAGAGUAACACCCACAUGCCCCACCCCAGGUGAAGAUUCCAGCGUGUCUGAAACUGUGAAUGUAGAAAGACAGUUCCACACAUCGGGUUUAUAAGCUGUAUGUGCUACACAAAGAGGAGAAGAGGAAAUAUUAUCAGUUGUAUUCACCAAUGCAUAAUCACUCUUGGAAAAGAUCCUGUUUCAGUGUGAGACAGAAGGGUCUCCAAGGCAGUCUCCAGUCUCAAUACUGAGAUCAUGUAUGAAGUUUCCAGCUGCCACAUGAGGAGGAGGUGAGUUGCUGCAAGCUGCAGUUGAGCCUGGCAGAGAUUUUCCAUCAGGACCUUUUUGUCAAUGUGGGAUUUGAAUCUUCUCCUGGGAUGGCAGCCAGAAGUCAUCUGUAUUCAUCAGCACUCAACAUUUGCUGGGGCAGACCUCUAAGAUAAGUGUUGUCUUCAGCUUUUGUCCUGUGUGCACUGUUCCCCUGCAUAUUCUCCCUGUGCUGUUGUUUUUCUUUAAUGGCACUUAGACUUGCAGGCUUUCGACUGACAGCUGGUAGAACUGGUUGAAUUGUUUGUUUGAAAUACU
RNAcentral lists this long non-coding RNA (612 nucleotides) under Struthio camelus australis. RNAcentral's name for it is "lncRNA (ENSSCUG00000009643.1)". The record is from RNAcentral. Lineage: Eukaryota; Metazoa; Chordata; Aves; Struthioniformes; Struthionidae.